This 423-nucleotide ribosomal RNA is filed under the name uncultured bacterium. Its description in RNAcentral is "bacterial SSU rRNA". It matches the Rfam family "Bacterial small subunit ribosomal RNA", at positions 358 to 773 of the family's 1533-position model. The record is from RNAcentral.
GGAAUAUUGGACAAUGGGCGAAAGCCUGAUCCAGCCAUGCCGCGUGUGUGAAGAAGGUCUUCGGAUUGUAAAGCACUUUAAGUUGGGAGGAAGGGCAGUAAGCGACUACCUUGCUGUUUUGACGUUACCGACAGAAUAAGCACCGGCUACCUCUGUGCCAGCAGCCGCGGUAAUACAGAGGGUGCUAGCGUUAAUCGGGAUUACUGGGCGUAAAGCGAGUGUAGGUGGCUAUGUAAGUCGGAUGUGAAAUCCCCGGGCUCAACCUGGGAACUGCAUUCGAUACUGCAUGGCUAGAGUCUGAUAGAGGGAAGUGGAAUUCCAGGUGUAGCGGUGAAAUGCGUAGAUAUCUGGAAGAACACCAGUGGCGAAGGCGGCUUCCUGGAUCAAGACUGACACUGAGGCUCGAAAGCGUGGGGAGCAAAC